CAAAGCUCACACGUUCUCUCCUCUAGAAGCCACUUUCUUUUCUUUCUUGGAAUCUGCCCAGGGAGAGACACCUGUGUUUCUGUUUCGAUUUCUCCUCAGGCACCCGCAUUUCCUGGGGAGGAAUGGGGAAGGCGGAUGUGGCCAGUGGGCAGCAGGUCAUGAUCUGGCUCCGCCAGCCUCAGAGACUCACAGCUUCAGAGAUAGGAGAGUUUUUGUGGGAAUCCAGGCCCAGAGAGGAGCAGCGGCUUACUUGAGGGAAUACAGCCAGGACUCAGCCCAGAAUCACCUACUCCAGGAAGCCUUACUGGAUUGCCUUUCCCUUUGCUCCAGCUCCCCAUCCCCAGACAUUUCUAUGAAUGAGAUCAAAGAAUAUGCGGACUUUUGUGACUGGCUUCUUUCACUUAGAAUAACAUUUUCAAGGUUCAUCUAUGUUGUGCCACCCGAGCAGGUGUGGAGUGGGGAGCUUCACACCUUUUCAUUGCCAGGCAGCAAGGCGUGGUGACGGAGCCCUGAAGACAGACCCAGGGCUGGAAGCCCAACUCUUCACUUCUGUUGGGUCUUUCUGCCUCGCUGAGCCUCAUCAUUCUCUUCUGUGGAAUGGAACCACAGCACGUGGAUGAGAGACAGUGAAUGUAAGGUGUUUAGCAUAGUUGCUGGCAUACAACACAUGCUCAAUAAAUGUGAACUAUAAUAACAGCUACAGUGCUCACUCCAAAAACCUUGCACAGUUUCUGGCACACCGUAGGCCCUCGUGGGUGUGGGUGGAGUAACUGAUGGCAAGUGUGCCCCGGGAAGGGCGCCAGCUGAGGGCCUGGGCAGGCCUGGAGGGGGCCCUGGGAGGAGCUCACAGCCUCUGGCUCAGGGGCCCCUUGGCCAGAGCCCUGUCCAGCCCAGCUCUUGUCUGGCAUGGGGAGCAGUUUUAUUUCUACAGGCGUUUUGCGACUCAGCACAUGUAAGCUUCCUCCUGAUGGUUUGAAUUAGAAAGCAGCUGAUGCCUUCUGGAAAACCCAGGGAAAAACAUUAUUGUUGGAGGCCAGUCUCCUCAUUGGCAGAGCCGACUGCACUGGUCUGGCAUUCCGGAGCACAAAAGCCUUCGCCGGCAAAAUCGGAGCCUUCCCAUCGGGGCUCCCCUCCUCUCCGCCCUCCCUCUCAUCCAGCCCUGGCUGGGCCUGGCAAGUGCUGGCUGCCGGAUGGGAGUCAGGACAAGAAUCCUCUGGCUGUCUAGGCCCGUCCACUCCAGCAGCAAGUUGGUGGACGAGGUCUGACUCAACUCCCAGCCUGGCAAAUGUCUGGGGUCUGGCGUGCAGACGAAGGUGGUACCCACUGCAGGGAACAGGGCCAGGAGGAAGGUGGCAACAGGCUGGCUAGACACGGAGAUCGGAAAAGGAGAGAGUGUUACUGCUCUUAUUGGACGAAUGAGGAAACUGAGGCUCAGAGAGGUGAUGUCAGCUGCCCACGGUCACAGAGCCAGCAAGUGGUAGCCUGAGGACUAGACCCCAGGCCUGCUCUGAGGCCCACCUUGCCUUUUUGCACUGAGAAUGGGGGUAAAAGCACUUUGUGAACCAAAAGGCAUGGUAUACCUGGGAGGGUUUUAAAUACCAUUCCUAUUGCUGUUUUCCUGGGGAGGUGGUCAGAAGCUGGCAUGGCCUCCCCUCCAGCCGGCCAUCGGCCUUGCUGCAGCUUCUGCUUGGUCACCAACAGUUCGAGCCACAUGACCAGGGCUGCCUUAUCUCCUCGAGGGUGGCAGGCCCCUGUUCCCAGAAGCCCGGCUUCAGAUGGGCAGCAGCGAUUGUAGAGAUCUGCAGGGCCCCGAUAAAGCCGCUGCAGCAGGGGACAGACGGAUGGAAGUUCCCCUCAUGCCACUUCCUUCAGUGGCUGGUAUGGCCCCAGCUCCUUAAGCUCUUCCACUUCCUCACAAGGAUAGGGGCCCGGAGUGGCCAACAGAGCUCAGUGGGGUUCAGUCCCCAGUAACCCGCCCCCAUUCCUGGCAUCCCCCCUUCACGGCCCUGGGUCUAGGACCCUGGCCAUGAGGGUGCUCUUGUCUCCACCCCAGGGAGUGUUGGGACGAGCAGACGAGGUGACACUCGAUGUGCACGCGAGAGGCUGACGCUCUUUAUCCAUCUCCCCAGUCCGUGUGCCUUAGCCAUGUUGUCCCUCUUCUUUUCUGUGAUCUUUCCAAACCCUGCCCCUCCUAUAAGGGUGAGUCUGAAUGUCACCUUCUCCCCAAAGCUGUCCUGGACCUCCUCUGGCCUGUCACCUCCUGUGCUUCCUCUCGCAGCAUUGGAAUCGGCCCCUUCAGAGAAUAAAAGGACGGGAAGGAUGGCUAUCCACGUGCUGAGCCACAAAUGACUUUGACACUUUUCCCCUGCUGUGUAUG
This is a long non-coding RNA of Equus asinus (donkey), 2377 nucleotides long. The record is from Ensembl. Lineage: Eukaryota; Metazoa; Chordata; Mammalia; Perissodactyla; Equidae.